ACUCUCGGCAACGGAUAUCUCGGCUCUCGCAUCGAUGAAGAACGUAGCGAAAUGCGAUACUUGGUGUGAAUUGCAGAAUCCCGUGAACCAUCGAGUCUUUGAACGCAAGUUGCGCCUGAAGCCAUUAGGCUAAAGGCACGUCUGCCUGGGCGUCACGCAUCAC
This 163-nucleotide ribosomal RNA is filed under the name Alkanna hirsutissima. Its description in RNAcentral is "5.8S ribosomal RNA". It matches the Rfam family "5.8S ribosomal RNA". From Rfam's summary of the family: 5.8S ribosomal RNA (5.8S rRNA) is a component of the large subunit of the eukaryotic ribosome. Lineage: Eukaryota; Viridiplantae; Streptophyta; Magnoliopsida; Boraginales; Boraginaceae. The record is from RNAcentral.